CCUACGGGAGGCCGCAGUGAGGAAUCUUGGUCAAUGGACGAGAGUCUGAACCAGCCAAGUAGCGUGAAGGAUUACUGCCCUAUGGGUUGUAAACUUCUUUUAUAUGGGAAUAAAAUGUUCCACGUGUGGGAUUUUGUAUGUACCCUAUGAAUAAGGAUCGGCUAACACCGUGCCAGCAGCCGCGGUAAUACGUGGGCUCCAAGCGUUAUCCGAACUUAUUGGGAUUAAAGGGCGCGUAGGUGGAUUGUUAGGUCAGUUGUGAAAGUUUGCGGCUCAACCGUAAAAUUGCAGUUGAAACUGGCAGUCUUGAGUACAGUAGAGGUGGGCGGAAUUCGUGGUGUAGCGGUGAAAUGCUUAGAUAUCACGAAGAACUCCGAUUGCGAAGGCAGCUCACUGGACUGCAACUGACACUGAGGCUCGAAAGUGUGGGUAUCAAACAGGAUUAGAUACCCUUGUAGUC
RNAcentral lists this ribosomal RNA (460 nucleotides) under uncultured bacterium. RNAcentral's name for it is "partial 16S ribosomal RNA". It matches the Rfam family "Bacterial small subunit ribosomal RNA", at positions 338 to 795 of the family's 1533-position model. The record is from RNAcentral.